RNAcentral lists this ribosomal RNA (495 nucleotides) under uncultured bacterium. RNAcentral describes it as "partial 16S ribosomal RNA". It matches the Rfam family "Bacterial small subunit ribosomal RNA", at positions 28 to 507 of the family's 1533-position model. The record is from RNAcentral.
GACGAACGCUGGCGGCGUGCCUAAUACAUGCAAGUAGAACGCUGAAGGAGGAGCUUGCUUCUCUGGAUGAGUUGCGAACGGGUGAGUAACGCGUAGGUAACCUGCCUGGUAGCGGGGGAUAACUAUUGGAAACGAUAGCUAAUACCGCAUAAUAGUAGAUGUUGCAUGACAUUUGCUUAAAAGGUGCAAUUGCAUCACUACCAGAUGGACCUGCGUUGUAUUAGCUAGUUGGUGGGGUAACGGCUCACCAAGGCGACGAUACAUAGCCGACCUGAGAGGGUGAUCGGCCACACUGGGACUGAGACACGGCCCAGACUCAUACGGGAGGCAGCAGUAGGGAAUCUUCGGCAAUGGACGGAAGUCUGACCGAGCAACGCCGCGGGAGUGAAGAAGGUUUUCGGAUCGUAAAGCUCGGUUGUAAGAGAAGAACGAGUGUGAGAGUGGAAAGUUCACACUGUGACGGUAUCUUACCAGAAAGGGACGGCUAACUACGUG